Molecule: ribosomal RNA, 894 nt
Filed under: uncultured Staphylococcus sp.
Lineage: Bacteria; Bacillati; Bacillota; Bacilli; Caryophanales; Staphylococcaceae
Description: bacterial SSU rRNA
Rfam family: Bacterial small subunit ribosomal RNA
Source: RNAcentral
UGCAGUCGAGCGAACGGACGAGAAGCUUGCUUCUCUGAUGUUAGCGGCGGACGGGUGAGUAACACGUGGAUAACCUACCUAUAAGACUGGGAUAACUUCGGGAAACCGGAGCUAAUACCGGAUAAUAUUUUGAACCGCAUGGUUCAAAAGUGAAAGACGGUCUUGCUGUCACUUAUAGAUGGAUCCGCGCUGCAUUAGCUAGUUGGUAAGGUAACGGCUUACCAAGGCAACGAUGCAUAGCCGACCUGAGAGGGUGAUCGGCCACACUGGAACUGAGACACGGUCCAGACUCCUACGGGAGGCAGCAGUAGGGAAUCUUCCGCAAUGGGCGAAAGCCUGACGGAGCAACGCCGCGUGAGUGAUGAAGGUCUUCGGAUCGUAAAACUCUGUUAUUAGGGAAGAACAUAUGUGUAAGUAACUGUGCACAUCUUGACGGUACCUAAUCAGAAAGCCACGGCUAACUACGUGCCAGCAGCCGCGGUAAUACGUAGGUGGCAAGCGUUAUCCGGAAUUAUUGGGCGUAAAGCGCGCGUAGGCGGUUUUUUAAGUCUGAUGUGAAAGCCCACGGCUCAACCGUGGAGGGUCAUUGGAAACUGGAAAACUUGAGUGCAGAAGAGGAAAGUGGAAUUCCAUGUGUAGCGGUGAAAUGCGCAGAGAUAUGGAGGAACACCAGUGGCGAAGGCGACUUUCUGGUCUGUAACUGACGCUGAUGUGCGAAAGCGUGGGGAUCAAACAGGAUUAGAUACCCUGGUAGUCCACGCCGUAAACGAUGAGUGCUAAGUGUUAGGGGGUUUCCGCCCCUUAGUGCUGCAGCUAACGCAUUAAGCACUCCGCCUGGGGAGUACGACCGUAAGGUUGAAACUCAAAGGAAUUGACGGGGACCCGCACAAGCGG